This 200-nucleotide long non-coding RNA is filed under the name Zostera marina. RNAcentral describes it as "long non-coding RNA (ZMAR_LNC001366)". The record is from RNAcentral. Lineage: Eukaryota; Viridiplantae; Streptophyta; Magnoliopsida; Alismatales; Zosteraceae.
GCGAGUUCCAUUUUUACGGCCCCCAACUCUCCCUUAAGUUGGGAGAUCUCCUGCUCUUUUUCUCUCAGGAAAUUCCUUUGAGCAGCCCAAUCCGCAGACAACUUCUUAUUAGUUUCAGACAGGGUUGAGGCGUCUGAAACUUUCUGCGCAACCUCAUCUUCCAGAUUUUUGCAUCGGCGCUUCACUCUCUUCAACUCGUC